RNAcentral lists this ribosomal RNA (589 nucleotides) under uncultured bacterium. RNAcentral describes it as "partial 16S ribosomal RNA". It matches the Rfam family "Bacterial small subunit ribosomal RNA", at positions 355 to 1376 of the family's 1533-position model. The record is from RNAcentral.
UGGGGAAUUUUGGACAAUGGGCGCAAGCCUGAUCCAGCCAUGCCGCGUGCAGGAUGAAGGCCUUCGGGUUGUAAACUGCUUUUGUACGGAACGAAAAGGUUCUUUCUAAUAAAGAGAGCUCAUGACGGUACCGUAAGAAUAAGCACCGGCUAACUACGUGCCAGCAGCCGCGGUAAUACGUAGGGUGCAAGCGUUAAUCGGAAUUACUGGGCGUAAAGCGUGCGCAGGCGGUGAUGUAAGACAGUUGUGAAAUCCCCGGGGCUCAACCUGGGAACUGCAUCUGUGACUGCAUCGCUGGAGUGCGGCAGAGGGGGGAUGGAAUUCCGCGUGUAGCAGUGAAAUGCGUAGAUAUGCGGAGGAACACCGAUGGCGAAGGCAAUACCCCUGGGCCUGCACUGACGCUCAUGCACGAAAAGCGUGGGGAGCAAACAGGAUUAGAUACCCUGGUAGUCCACGCCCUAAACGAUGUCAACUGGUUGUUGGGUCUUCACUGACUCAGUAACGAAGCUAACGCGUGAAGUUGACCGCCUGGGGAGUACGGCCGCAAGGUGAAACUCAAAGGAAUUGACGGGGUCAUAGCUGUUUCCUG